GGGGCUAUAGCUCAGCUGGGAGAGCGUCAGCGUGGCACGUUGAAGGUCGUCGGUUCGAUCCCGACUAGCUCCACCA
RNAcentral lists this transfer RNA (76 nucleotides) under Gammaproteobacteria bacterium. Its description in RNAcentral is "tRNA-Ala". It matches the Rfam family "tRNA". Rfam says of the family: Transfer RNA (tRNA) molecules are approximately 80 nucleotides in length. The record is from RNAcentral. Lineage: Bacteria; Pseudomonadati; Pseudomonadota; Gammaproteobacteria. RNAcentral also lists the same sequence under 1 other name.